GGCGGCGUGCCUAAUACAUGCAAGUAGAACGCACAGUUUAUACCGUAGCUUGCUACACCAUAGACUGUGAGUUGCGAACGGGUGAGUAACGCGUAGGUAACCUGCCUGGUAGCGGGGGAUAACUAUUGGAAACGAUAGCUAAUACCGCAUAAUAUUAAUUAUUGCAUGAUAAUUAAUUAAAAGGUGCAAUUGCACCACUACCAGAUGGACCUGCGUUGUAUUAGCUAGUAGGUGAGGUAACGGCUCACCUAGGCGACGAUACAUAGCCGACCUGAGAGGGUGAUCGGCCACACUGGGACUGAGACACGGCCCAGACUCCUACGGGAGGCAGCAGUAGGGAAUUUCGGCAAUGGACGAAAGUCUGACCGAGCAACGCCGCGUGAGUGAAGAAGGUUUUCGGAUCGUAAAGCUCUGUUGUAAGAGAAGAACGGGUGUGAGAGUGGAAAGUUCACACUGUGACGGUAUCUACCAGAAA
RNAcentral lists this ribosomal RNA (475 nucleotides) under Streptococcus gordonii. Its description in RNAcentral is "bacterial SSU rRNA". It matches the Rfam family "Bacterial small subunit ribosomal RNA", at positions 38 to 489 of the family's 1533-position model. Lineage: Bacteria; Bacillati; Bacillota; Bacilli; Lactobacillales; Streptococcaceae. The record is from RNAcentral.